AUGAACGUUUGUCUUGUGAUUUACAGAACUGCCAGAUUCCCUGAGCAGCAUAACUCCCUUGAAGAAAGCUUCUCACCCACGGUAUGGCUCAGGCAGUUUCACUCGGCCGUGCCAGCUCCAGCCUGGGAUCUUGCAAGAAGAGCAGGACAGACGGGCAGGCAGGAUGUGACAGGAGGUGGAGUGUCCAAUACUUAGAGCUUACUUCAUCAGUACUCACGUUCCUGUGGUGCUGCUGGUGGUGGGUGACAAGCUGAGGGCAGGCUGCAGAGACACUGCUCAUGUUUGAUCUUCUUUUACCUGCAGAGACCAUCCCAGCUUCUCGGACUUAUUUUCUGAAGCUUGUCCUCUCACCAGCUCACCCAAGGUCGCCUUCACAAAAAAGGUUGUCAAAAUGGGUGACGUACUUUCUGAGACCAGUGUCUGCCAUUCUCCCCUGGCUGUUCAGGGAGCCCAUGUGCACUAGCUAAGACUUGCAUGACUAAACCUCAGACCUGUGAAAGGAGAGAGGUGAGCUCCAGCCUUCUGAGUUACUCCUGGCCCAGGGAGAGGUGGCCAUGCGACCUCCAGGGCGUGGGGGAAAAUAUAGAAAUAGGCUGGCCU
This 600-nucleotide long non-coding RNA is filed under the name Anas platyrhynchos platyrhynchos (common mallard). RNAcentral's name for it is "lncRNA (ENSAPLG00000022846.1)". Lineage: Eukaryota; Metazoa; Chordata; Aves; Anseriformes; Anatidae. The record is from RNAcentral.